Molecule: unclassified non-coding RNA, 20 nt
Filed under: Chlamydomonas reinhardtii
Lineage: Eukaryota; Viridiplantae; Chlorophyta; Chlorophyceae; Chlamydomonadales; Chlamydomonadaceae
Description: small RNA Cre_1379
Source: RNAcentral
CGUCAGAGACCCAAGAGCGG